AGAUGAUCGCGGCUGAGUGGCAAUGCGUAAGCAUUGUCAGGCAGGUGAGGAAAGUCCGGGCUUCAUAGGGCAGGAUGCCGGAUAACGUCCGGUGGAGGUGACUCCAAGGCCAGUGCAACAGAAAGAUACCGCCUGAUAUUCAGGUAAGGGUGGAAAGGCAGCUUAAGAGACUACCGUGCGUCUGGUAACAGACGCAGCCAUGUAAACCCCAUCCGAAGCAAGACCAAAUAGUGAAGCGAUACGGCGGCCCGUCGUGCUUUGCGGGUAGGUUGCUUGAACCUGCUGGUAACAGCAGGUCUAGAUAGAUGAUCAUCCACGACAUAACCCGGCUUAUCGUUUUGCUCA
Molecule: RNase P RNA, 345 nt
Filed under: pig gut metagenome
Description: Bacterial RNase P class A
Rfam family: Bacterial RNase P class A
About the family: Ribonuclease P (RNase P) is a ubiquitous endoribonuclease, found in archaea, bacteria and eukarya as well as chloroplasts and mitochondria. Its best characterised activity is the generation of mature 5'-ends of tRNAs by cleaving the 5'-leader elements of precursor-tRNAs. Cellular RNase Ps are ribonucleoproteins.
Source: RNAcentral